Molecule: ribosomal RNA, 433 nt
Filed under: uncultured bacterium
Lineage: Bacteria
Description: bacterial SSU rRNA
Rfam family: Bacterial small subunit ribosomal RNA
Source: RNAcentral
AACGAACGCUGGCGGCAGGCCUAACACAUGCAAGUCGAACGCCCUCUUCGGAGGGAGUGGCAGACGGGUGAGUAACGCGUGGGAACCUUCCCUAUGGUACGGAAUAACUCAGAGAAAUUUGAGCUAAUACCGUAUAAGCCCUUCGGGGGAAAGAUUUAUCGCCAUUGGAUGAGCCUACGUCGGAUUAGCUUGUUGGUGGGGUAACGGCCUACCAAGGCGACGAUCCGUAGCUGGUCUGAGAGGACGAUCAGCCACACUGGGACUGAGACACGGCCCAGACUCCUACGGGAGGCAGCAGUGGGGAAUAUUGGACAAUGGGGGAAACCCUGAUCCAGCAAUGCCGCGUGUGUGAAGAAGGCCUGCGGGUUGUAAAGCACUUUCAGUGGGGAGGAUAAUGACGUUACCCACAGAAGAAGCACCGGCUAACUCUGUG